RNAcentral lists this ribosomal RNA (434 nucleotides) under uncultured bacterium. Its description in RNAcentral is "partial 16S ribosomal RNA". It matches the Rfam family "Bacterial small subunit ribosomal RNA", at positions 29 to 507 of the family's 1533-position model. The record is from RNAcentral.
AGCGAACGCUGGCGGCAGGCCUAACACAUGCAAGUCGAACGAACCUUUCGGGGUUAGUGGCGGACGGGUGAGUAACACGUGGGAACGUGCCUUUAGGUUCGGCAUAACUCAGGGAAACUUGUGCUAAUACCGAAUGUGCCCUUCGGGGGAAAGAUUAAUCGCCUUUAGAGCGGCCCGCGUCUGAUUAGCUAGUUGGUUGAGGUAAUGGCUCACCAAGGCGACGAUCAGUAGCUGGUCUGAGAGGAUGAUCAGCCACAUUGGGACUGAGACACGGCCCAAACUCCUACGGGAGGCAGCAGUGGGGAAUCUUGCGCAAUGGGCGAAAGCCUGACGCAGCCAUGCCGCGUGAAUGAUGAAGGUCUUAGGAUUGUAAAAUUCUUUCACCGGGGACGAUAAUGACGGUACCCGGAGAAGAAGCCCCGGCUAACUUCGUG